RNAcentral lists this ribosomal RNA (204 nucleotides) under uncultured bacterium. RNAcentral's name for it is "partial 16S ribosomal RNA". It matches the Rfam family "Bacterial small subunit ribosomal RNA", at positions 568 to 774 of the family's 1533-position model. The record is from RNAcentral.
GGAGCAGGCGGCACUAAGGGUCUGUGGUGAAAGAUCGAAGCUUAACUUCGUAAGCCAUGGAAACCGUAGAGCUAGAGUGUGUGAGAGGAUCGUGGAAUUCCAUGUGUAGCGGUGAAAUGCGUAGAUAUAUGGAGGAACACCAGUGGCGAAGGCGACGAUCUGGCGCAUAACUGACGCUCAGUCCGAAAGCGUGGGGAGCAAAUA